GUUGCUAGAAACACACCCGAAGGCGGGCGAGCUUAUCUUGAACAGGUUGAAGGGCGGUUCAUCGCCGCGUUGGAGGACCGAACCCGUGUACGUGGUAAUGUGCUGGGAUGAUUUGAGAUAAGGUUAGUGAAAGGCUAAUCAAGCCCGCAGCUAGCUGGUUUUUGGCGAAAAGCAUAAAGGUGCACUGUGAUGUUUUUGCUAUUUUAAUUUCUGCAGAACGUUCGUUCUGCAGAAUUCAUAGAAUUCCAAAUGUGUCACUUUAGUGACACAUUAGUGACACCGAAGGUGUCACCACGUGAAUUCGAAGAAUUCAUCUUGUUCAGGGAUCUCCAAGGGGGAGGGCGGGUCUAAGCUGCGACUUUCCCAUGGAAACCGUCAAGCACGAUGUUUUCGACAUCAUGGACAGACCAUGGGCGCGAAGGUCCGUGGUCGAGAGGGAAACAGCCCAGAAAGCUCGUUAAGGUCCCUAAGCGUGAGCUCAGUGUGAACGGUAGUUGACUUCGAUAUUUUUCGAAAUAUCGAUCAAGCGGAGACUGCCAGCAAAUAGGCUUGGAAGCAGCCAACUUGGAAUGAUAGCGUAACAGCUCACUGGCAUAGCUUAUCAGCGCCCAACAUGAACGGGGCUUCAGCUCACC
This 635-nucleotide ribosomal RNA is filed under the name Bracteacoccus aerius. Its description in RNAcentral is "LSU rRNA". It matches the Rfam family "Bacterial large subunit ribosomal RNA", at positions 699 to 1192 of the family's 2925-position model. Lineage: Eukaryota; Viridiplantae; Chlorophyta; Chlorophyceae; Sphaeropleales; Bracteacoccaceae. The record is from RNAcentral.